UCGGAAUUACUGGGCGUAAAGCGUGCGCAGGCGGUUUUGUAAGUCUGACGUGAAAGCUCCGGGCUCAACCUGGGAAUUGCGUUGGAGACUGCAAGGCUUGAAUCUGGCAGAGGGGGGUAGAAUUCCACGUGUAGCAGUGAAAUGCGUAGAGAUGUGGAGGAACACCGAUGGCGAAGGCAGCCCCCUGGGUCAAGAUUGACGCUCAUGCACGAAAGCGUGGGGAGCAAACAGGAUUAGAUA
This 240-nucleotide ribosomal RNA is filed under the name Haptolina ericina. Its description in RNAcentral is "partial Bacterial small subunit ribosomal RNA". It matches the Rfam family "Bacterial small subunit ribosomal RNA", at positions 545 to 784 of the family's 1533-position model. Lineage: Eukaryota; Haptophyta; Prymnesiales; Prymnesiaceae. The record is from RNAcentral.